This 498-nucleotide ribosomal RNA is filed under the name uncultured bacterium. RNAcentral describes it as "partial 16S ribosomal RNA". It matches the Rfam family "Bacterial small subunit ribosomal RNA", at positions 27 to 507 of the family's 1533-position model. The record is from RNAcentral.
GGAUGAACGCUGGCGGCGUGCCUAAUACAUGCAAGUCGAGCGAACGGACGAGACGCUUGCUUCUCUGAUGUUCGCGGCGGCCGGGUGAGUAACACGUGGAUAACCUACCUAUAAGACUGGGAUAACUUCGGGAAACCGGAGCUAAUACCGGAUGAUAUUUUGAACCGCAUGGUUCAAAAGUGAAAGACGGUCUUGCUGUCACUUAUAGAUGGAUCCGCGCUGCAUUAGCUAGUUGGUAAGGUAACGGCUUACCAAGGCAACGAUGCAUAGCCGACCUGAGAGGGUGAUCGGCCACACUGGAACUGAGACACGGUCCAGACUCCUACGGGAGGCAGCAGUAGGGAAUCUUCCGCAAAGGGCGAAAGCCUGACGGAGCAACGCCGCGUGAGUGAUGAAGGUCUUCGGAUCGUAAAACUCUGUUAUUAGGGAAGAACAUAUGUGUAAGUAACUGUGCACAUCUUGACGGUACCUAAUCAGAAAGCCACGGCUAACUACGUG